GUUUUGGUGAUGGUGAUGUGUGUGUAGAUCUUACUUUACUAAACAUUCUUGCUGCUUACAAUUAUCUCUAUCUAUAACAGUACUUUCUGUGGAAAAUGUUAUUGAAAAUCUUCAAAUUUUAAGAAAAUUGUUAAAAAAUUGACUAUGAAGGGCAAUAACUCCUUAGGGGGUCAAUUGACUAUUUUGGUCAUACUGACUUAUUUUUAGUUCUUACUUUGCUGUACAUUAUUGCUGUUUACAGUUUAUCUCUAUCUAUAAUAAUAUUCAAGAUAAUAACCAAAAA
Molecule: long non-coding RNA, 283 nt
Filed under: Mytilus galloprovincialis (Mediterranean mussel)
Lineage: Eukaryota; Metazoa; Mollusca; Bivalvia; Mytilida; Mytilidae
Source: RNAcentral